CAGGGAAUAUUGGUAAUGGGCGAAAGCCCGAACCAGCAACGCCGCGUGCGCGAUGAAGGCCUUCGGGUUGUAAAGCGCUUUUUAAGGGGAUGAGGAAGGACAGUACUCUUAGAAUAAGCCUCGGCUAACUACGUGCCAGCAGCCGCGGUAAAACGUAGGAGGCGAGCGUUGUCCGGAUUUACUGGGCGUAAAGCGUGUGUAGGCGGUUUGAUAAGUUGGAUGUGAAAGCUCCCGGCUCAACUGGGAGAGGUCGUUCAAAACUAUCAGACUUGAGAGUGGUAGAGGGAGGUGGAAUUCCGCGUGUAGUGGUGAAAUGCGUAGAUAUGCGGAGGAACACCAGUGGUGAAAGCGGCCUCCUGGCCCAUUUCUGACGCUCAGACUCGAAAGCUAAGGUAGCAAACGG
This 403-nucleotide ribosomal RNA is filed under the name uncultured bacterium. RNAcentral describes it as "bacterial SSU rRNA". It matches the Rfam family "Bacterial small subunit ribosomal RNA", at positions 355 to 775 of the family's 1533-position model. The record is from RNAcentral.